GACUCUGUAGCUCAGAUGGAUAGAGCAACUCCCUCCUAAGGAGUAGGCCAUGCGUUCGAAUCGCGUCAGGGUCACCA
This 77-nucleotide transfer RNA is filed under the name Fusobacteriota bacterium. Its description in RNAcentral is "Fusobacteria bacterium tRNA-Arg". It matches the Rfam family "tRNA". Rfam says of the family: Transfer RNA (tRNA) molecules are approximately 80 nucleotides in length. Their secondary structure includes four short double-helical elements and three loops (D, anti-codon, and T loops). Further hydrogen bonds mediate the characteristic L-shaped molecular structure. tRNAs have two regions of fundamental functional importance: the anti-codon, which is responsible for specific mRNA codon recognition, and the 3' end, to which the tRNAs corresponding amino acid is attached (by aminoacyl-tRNA synthetases). tRNAs cope with the degeneracy of the genetic code in two manners: having more than one tRNA (with a specific anti-codon) for a particular amino acid; and 'wobble' base-pairing, i.e. permitting non-standard base-pairing at the 3rd anti-codon position. The record is from RNAcentral. Lineage: Bacteria; Fusobacteriati; Fusobacteriota.